RNAcentral lists this ribosomal RNA (407 nucleotides) under uncultured bacterium. Its description in RNAcentral is "partial 16S ribosomal RNA". It matches the Rfam family "Bacterial small subunit ribosomal RNA", at positions 28 to 525 of the family's 1533-position model. The record is from RNAcentral.
GACGAACGCUGGCGGCGUGCCUAAUACAUGCAAGUAGAACGCAGUUGCGAACGGGUGAGUAACGCGUAGGUAACCUGCCUCAUAGCGGGGGAUAACUAUUGGAAACGAUAGCUAAUACCGCAUACUGUGAGAUGGACCUGCGUUGUAUUAGCUAGUUGGUGAGGUAAAGGCUCACCAAGGCGACGAUACAUAGCCGACCUGAGAGGGUGAUCGGCCACACUGGGACUGUGACACGGCCCAGACUCCUACGGGAGGAAGCAGUGGGGAAUAGUGAACAAUGGGCGCAAGCCUGAAGCAGACAUGCAGCGUGUAUGAAGAAGGCCUUCGGGUUGUAAAGUACUUUCAGCGGGGAGGCGUUACCCGCAGAAGAAGCACCGGCUAACUCCGUGCCAGCAGCCGCGGUAAUC